RNAcentral lists this transfer RNA (72 nucleotides) under Bos taurus (domestic cattle). It matches the Rfam family "tRNA". From Rfam's summary of the family: Transfer RNA (tRNA) molecules are approximately 80 nucleotides in length. Their secondary structure includes four short double-helical elements and three loops (D, anti-codon, and T loops). RNAcentral also lists the same sequence under 2 other names. Lineage: Eukaryota; Metazoa; Chordata; Mammalia; Artiodactyla; Bovidae. The record is from Rfam by way of RNAcentral.
UCCCAGGUAGCUAAACUGGUAAAGAAUCUGCCUGCAAUGCAGGAGACCCUGGUUUGAUUCCUGGGUCGGGAA